UCUCCGUUGGUGAACCAGCGGAGGGAUCAUUACCAGAGUGCCUUUUGGCUCUCCAACCCACUGUGAACAUACCUACGUUUCCCUCGGCGGGCUCAGCGCGUUGCGGUUCUGCCGCCUCGCGUCCGCCGGGGGCACCCAAACUCGAAUUUAUAUCGUGUAUCUCUGAGGGGCGAAAGCCCGUAAAACAAAUGAAUCAAAACUUUCAACAACGGAUCUCUUGGCUCUG
RNAcentral lists this unclassified non-coding RNA (226 nucleotides) under Sarocladium implicatum. Its description in RNAcentral is "partial contains small subunit ribosomal RNA, internal transcribed spacer 1, and 5.8S ribosomal RNA". The record is from RNAcentral. RNAcentral also lists the same sequence under 1 other name. Lineage: Eukaryota; Fungi; Ascomycota; Sordariomycetes; Hypocreales; Sarocladiaceae.